GAAUUGAGUGUUUUGGAAGCAUAGAGUGUAAGGAACAUGUUGAGGAGAAGAGUUUUGAGAGAAUCGAGCCCAAAGAUCAAGAAAAGACGAAGAUUCUGAGUCGGGACGAAAAAGGAGCGAUCGGCGGUCAAAGGAGCGUUGACCGCCGAAUUUUAGAGGUUUAAAGGGUGCAAACGGCGACCCAGACGGCGAUCGCCGUCCAGGUCGCCGAAUUCCCUGACUGAUUUUUGGCCUAAGGUGGAUUAUUCGGCGAUCGCCGAAUCCGAGAACAAAACCGGCCAUUUUCGGCGACCCAGACGGCGAUCGCCGAACGGGUCGCCGAACGGGGCAGUUGCGUCGUUUCUUCCGCGUUUUUUACGUUUUUCGAGGUGUUUUCGGUUUUGAACUUUGUUUUUCAUCCUAAGACUAUAAAUAGGUCCUCUUUUGACCUAUCUGGGGUUCCCAGCUUUCAUAUUUCAGUUUUUAGCUUUUAGAAUACUUUAGCUUUAGCUUUCCAGUUUUCAAGGCUUGGAUCAAGAUUGAAGAUUCAAGCCGCUACAAUCGUUUUAUUACGGGUUUUAUACAAUUAGUUUUUACAAUCGCUUUCAAUUUAAUUAUGUUUAUGUUUUAUUUUAGCAUGUCUGGCUAGUUUCCUUUAGCUGAUUCUAGGGUUUGUAAAUAGUUGAUUGAAUUUAUGUGAUUUAUUUGUUAAUACCUUUGUGCCUUCCAGUUUAUGAUUCAUAAUUCCUGGUGCUUAAUUUCUUGUGAAUUAUCUGAUCAAUAGUUUGCAUGUUUAGCUAUUCGGUUUGAGACCUAGCGGAGAUAACUGUUUAGCGGAUUCAGGAAUGUAUGAUAUGAUUUUAACCUUGAGACCUAGCGGAGAUAGGUGGAUCAUAGGGAGCUAUUCUUAUGAGCUAUUGGGAGUUAGUAGAUUUUCUUGAGACCUAACGGAGAUAGAUAAUUUACUAAUCUACGAUCGUUGCUGCUCUAGCGAGAGUGAUUGAUUAAUUAAGUGAUCUCUCAUCAUAACUGGAUUAAACUGGUACAUAGGAUUAAUAGAUUAAUUAUGUAGAUUUAGUUAAUGAAUUUACUACCCUAGGAUCAGUUGUCUUUAUUAUUUGAUAUUUCUUACGUGUUUAGAUUUAUUGCGUUUUAGUUUUAGUUAAUUAAAUCUUCUUCAUAAUCGUUUACCUGCAUACUGUGAGAGUCUGUUUAGGGAAUAGAUAGAGUGAUUUCGUUUUACAGUCUCUGUGGAUACGAUACUCUGCUUGCUAUUUCUGUGCUACAAUCACACCGUGUUAGUUGCGGUAUUUUUGUUGCUAAUAAAAUAGUGAUCAACUUUUUGGCGCCGUUGCCAACAAUCAAUUGCCUUGCCAACAGCCGGUGCAUUCGAGUCGGGAACUUCAAAUGCAAGAGAUAUCAGAAAUCCGGUCCUGAGAAUGACACAGCGCAUCUUGGCUUAUACGGUGCUUGCCCGCAAGGACAACACCCAUGUGACACAACAGGAGCUGUUCAUCAUCUGGGGGAUGCUCACACGCACCCAAAUGGACUUGACUCACAUCUUCCUCAGGCAGAUAUUCAAGGCAUCUAGGACUACCGCAGGAGUGAUCACCAUUGGAGGGAUGAUAACGCCCCUUGCACGCCGCAUUUGUCCCGCAAUCGCUCAGUGGGAUGCUUUGGAGGGCGACAAUCUGCUCAAUGCCCGUCGGUUGGUCAACAUGCGAUUCUUGAGGAGCGCCCAACCACCUUUCAAAUUGGUGCAAACUGAUGGCGACCACUUCCCCCUGCCGAACCCGCCUCUUACUCGUGUGGGCGGACGUUUUGAAACGCAGAACUGGUUGAUGAACACAAACGCCCACGUAAGGGCUGUAGCAGGGAUGCCGGCGGACGAGCAGAUCACGCAGCAGGUGUACGAGGAGGAAGAGGUGCAAGAGGAACCCGCCGCCGACGCAGCAGGAGACCAAUGGGGACCGAGUCCUCAUUUUGAUGUGACUGAUCUUACUGACAGGAUGCAGCGGUUGCAGGCCUUCGCCGAGCAACAAGAGGCGCAGCUCACAGUGAUGCGCACUGAUGUCACAGCGGUUAGACUGCAGCAACAGCCAUGGACGCCUAUCAGCGCGAGCAGUUCGCUCACUAUGGCGCUUUGAGGAUUACGCCCGAGCGGAGUUCAACAGGCAGGCGACAUUUGAGGCGUGGCAGCGGGCGGAGAUGGAGAGGCAGCAACAGGAGUAUGCGAGGCAGAUGGCUAUGCAGGAGGAACUCCUAAGACAGUUUCAGGAGUUCCAGAGGAGACAGGGACCGCCAUCUUGAGGAUUAGUAAGUAUGCUAACCAUAACUUUUAUCUAUUUUCCUCAACCUUAUUUCGAGCAUUAGCUCCUUAAUAAGUUUGGGGGAGGGGGAUGGAGAUUAGUUAUGGUUUGCAUUUUUAGCCUAGCAUUUUUCUGUUCUUUUUGAUGUUUUGGUGAGGAAAUUCUCUAGAUCUUUUAUUCGUGGGCAUGUACCUAAAUUGAUUAAUUCUCUCAGACUUAUUCCGUAUUUUCUGUGCUAUUUGAUUGGUUGUUGCUCCAUUUAGUUGUUUGGUAAGGUGCCUGUGAAGAUUUCUGCGAAAAAGAAGGUAAUUCCUAAUUUUUCUUGAUAUGGUGACAUGAUUUGAACCGAUGAGUGUGAUUGAUGAGUAGAUUUUGCCUUGAAUUUUGACGUUGAACAAGCUGGUGAGUAAUUGAGCCUUAACUGCCCAUUUUUGCAGUUUGUUCUUUGUUUUUGAGAGUUGUCAUGCAUGUAGUGCACUUCUAGAACUUGCCAUGAGUCUUGGUCGAGGUUGCUCGUUGUGUUCAAGAGUUUGAGAUGAUCUUAGGCCAUCUUUUGUAAGCCACGUUAUAUCCCAAACACUAACCUGAAAACAUUAAUCCCUUGUUAACCGUGUUUGAGCCGUUCUGAGCUUUUAAUUCAUUAACCGGACGAUAGGGGGUGAUGGAGUUUAUGGGGAUCGUUAUGUGGUAUUUGUGAUGGGUUUAUUGAAAAUAAGGGGUGAAAGAAAAAGAUUCUAGUCAUUCUUAUAAGCUCAAGAAAAAGAAAAGAAAGGAAGAAGUUUGAUGGAAGUUGUUUGAGAAAGUCGAGUGAUAAUUGAAAAAUUCAUGAGAAAUCGACUUCGUUGUUAUUAGAAAAGUGAGAGCAUAAAGGAAUGUCUAGCAUGAUUUGUGAUGAUUAUACCCCUUGAUUUGUGAUGAUUAUGAAGAUAUUGUUAGGUAGAAGAUGGAAUUUUAUUCCAUGCUUAAAUGGUGAAGUCAUAGGUUGUGUAAUCAAUUUACUAUGAGUCACUAAGCCAAAUUUCCCUACCUAAUCCAAUGUCCCUACAUUAUAACCUAAAAUUAAAGACCUAUUUGAUCUUACUCUUGGCACACUUUUAGCGAUGGAGAUUUUGAGACGAGUGGCAAGCAUAUGGUAAGUAAUCUGCAUUGUAUGAGUUUCGAUGAGUGAUACACGUCCUUUAUCCAUCAAUUGAGAGUUGAGUGAAACACUUUUAUCUUGAGAGUCAAUUGUUGGAAUGUCAAGGUUGAAUUUGCCAUUGAUUGUGCUUGUUGGUGAUUUUUGUGUUCCUGUAUUGAGGAUUUGAGGGAAUUCGAAAAAGUUUUAUUGUUCUGAGGCAUCGAUGAUCCAAUCAUCUUACCCAUUUGUGUUUAUUGUUUUGUUCUUCUCGUUGUUCGAGGACGAGCAACAUCUUAAGUUUGGGGGAGUUGAUAAACACUCAUUUUGCAUGGUUUUUAUGGUUUAUAUUCUGUAGUUUAAGUCAAUUUUACACCCGUUUCAUUAUGGUUUAGAGUUUAUUGCCUAUUAUUUCGUGAUUUCACGUUUGGGUGUAGUUUUGACUGUUUGGAUGCAGAAUUGAGUGUUUUGGAAGCAUAGAGUGUAAGGAACAGGUUGAGGAGAAGAGUUAUGAGAAAAUCGAGCCCAAAAAUCAAGAAAAGACGAAGAUUUUGGAGUCGGGACGAAAAAGGAGCGAUCGGCGGUCAAAGGAGCGUUGACCGCCGAACUUUGGGCGUUUAAAGAGAGAAAACGGCGACCCAGACGGCGACCGCCGGCCAGGUCGCCGAAAUCUCUGACUGAAUUUUGGCUUGGUGCUGAAAACUCGGCGGUCGCCGAAUCAUAGAGCAAAUUGGCCGAUUUUCGGCGACCCAGACGGCGAUCGCCGAACGGGCGGUGUUUGCGUUCGUGUUUCUUCCGUGUUUUUACGUUUUCGAGGUGUUUUCGGUUUUGAACUUUGUUUUUCAUCCUAAGACUAUAAAUAGGUCCUCUUUUGACCUAUCUGGGGUUCCCA
Molecule: long non-coding RNA, 4294 nt
Filed under: Salvia miltiorrhiza (redroot sage)
Lineage: Eukaryota; Viridiplantae; Streptophyta; Magnoliopsida; Lamiales; Lamiaceae
Description: long non-coding RNA (SMIL_LNC011085)
Source: RNAcentral